This is an unclassified non-coding RNA of Octopus bimaculoides (California two-spot octopus), 4025 nucleotides long. Lineage: Eukaryota; Metazoa; Mollusca; Cephalopoda; Octopoda; Octopodidae. The record is from RefSeq and is a predicted model, not a curated record.
UGUUUGCAUGUAUUUAUGUAUGCAUGUAUGUGUCUAUUCAUGUUUGCAUGUAUAUGUGUAUGUAUGUAUGUAUGUAUAUACAGGGUGAGUCAAAACUGCCUGCCACAUCAUUAUUAUUAUUAUUGUUACUAUUAUUAUCAUCAUUAUUAGUAUUAUUGUUAUUAUUAUUAGUAUUACUAUCAUUAGUAGUAGUAGUAGUAGUAGCAGCAGCAGCAGCAGUGGUAGUAGUAGUAGUAGUAGUAGUAGUAGUAGUAGUAGUAGUAGUAGUAGUAGUUGCAGUAGUAUGAUUAUUAAAUCUACCCAUCUACGAUGGAAGUAUGAAAUGCGGGAGGACAGUCGUAACAACUGUGUGCAUUGAGAAAUGUGUAAAUAGACUUGAGAGAAUACUGGGGAUGUCUUAGAGAAAUCACAUUAUUGUUGGUGGUACAACGUUGGAUGGCAGCAGCAUGCCAUGAAAUUGCGACUAAUUGACAUGUGAUGAGGAUUCACUAUGGAACUCAGUCUGUGUGAGUGUCAACAUGCGUCCCUCCCUGUAGGAUUUCCAUCGGCACUUCUGAAAAAGUACAGCAGGCUGUUUCUUUUCUUCGAUCUUGUCUCCUACUUCGUGAUGUUUAAUAAGUUUGGUGAGAAACAAUUUCUUUAUCAUAAAAUUAUUCCCUUUGUUCUGUAUGGUUAUGAAAUGACGUGUAGGAACAGUUAGAAUACAAUGUUUCACCUUGUUCCAACAUACCAUGAUAUUCAACAUCCUGCGGUGCACCAUGUGUUACAUCGUUUUUAAUUAAGGUAAAACACCUCUAUAACACUGUUAUAUCUUUAUUCAUAUUCAAAGUAGCUGAAUGGCAAAGACCGAAAUGAAACUUCCUGCAUUUAUUUUAGUUCUCUUCUUUGGUUCCGUUCUCUCACAGGAUUGCGAUGAUCUCGCAGUUAGGAAUUGCGAAUGGAUAUUUAACCUUUAUACAGAGAGGAAAAACGAUUGCAACGCAUACAGGAAAUUUAUGAGAUGCUUUCGUGGAGAAAGUCUAUUCUGUUAUACAAUAUACGAAAGCAGUCGUAAUUGCAAGCCAAUUGACGGCACGAGUGACCCACAUGAGAUGAAACUUCAAUCACUGUUCCUUCCUGCUGCUGUGGUUAUAUCGGUCAUGCAUGAAUAAAUAAAUCGUAUUUUUGCAACAAUAAUGAAUUAAUUUUAUAAUUUUGUAAUUAUGACACAACGUAAUUUUUUUCUUCUUUUUUUGUUCUUCACUGAGAAAGUACAACUUACUAAAUAUUUCGAUUUGGAAAUUUAAAGAAAUGACAAAUAUUCCCUUCAAAUGUUUGAACAGGAUGACAAUGUUUUGCUAUAAUCCAACAUUCCAUUGCAUUUGAGACAGAUGACGCCCUGAGUUGCUAAAGCAGUAAUAUAGUUGUAGCAAAUAAUCUGCAACAUAACACAGAUUUGCUUAAACAUUUAUGCAUGUUCCUGAAGGUUACCAAUACGUACGUCUUGCAGUUGUAUAUUUAAGAAACGAGGAAUUAUGUAUAGUAUUAAUGUUAUUUACAUUUGACGGAUAUUUGUCCUCAUUUUGUUUGUUGUUAAUAGACAGAGAACGCCACUGAAAAAUACGAAAACUAAAAGAAGCAAGACAUAUGCUAGGACACAAUAACCUCCUAAGCGGACUGAGUGCAGAUAUGAAUAGCAUAUGGGAUUGGUAUUAAAGAAAAAUAGGAAAAUAUUAGAUUUGUAUAGGGAUGAAGUGUGAAAAUGAUCUGGAAAAAAUUGCAUGCGUAUUGUGUCAUACAUCGCACUAUAUCCUGACACACUUUCUUUCUAUUUUAUUUUCGCUAUUAACCGUCCUCGUUACUCACCACGUAUUUAUGAAGAGGCCACGCACUAUACGAUGAAAAACAUCUAGAUUUGCUCGUGGUCACUGAAUUCUUAAUCAAAAUGCGACGAUGAUUUAUUAAUUCAACAAUCAAACAUCCACAAAAUAUUCAUACUAAGAGACAGACAGACGGACAUAACGACCAUUGUUGUAAGAUGGGAAAUAUGCCCAUCUUCGAUGGGGAAUUAAGGGAUAAUAUUGCAAAUCUAAACACUCUAAAUUCAUUAAUUAUACAGGAGUGAAAUCCAGAGUUAUUCAUCGACACCGGAAUUUUAAGCAUAGAAAGCAAAGGUGAUUUAUCAAUACAAAACUCAAAAUCCACUAAAUAAUCACAUCAUUGCACAUGUUUCCGCUAAAAGCCUACCUGAUUAUCUCCUUGAUAAUAUUGAAAAACAACGUGACCAUUGGUUCAUCCAUUUGAUCAUGAAGAGAGAAGACAGAUGGACAGAUGGACAGAUAGACAGACGGAAAUAAUAUCCAUUAAUACACGUAGAAAAGAGUGUUACAUCCUGAUUAAUGAAGUGUGCGAGACAAAAUCAAGAUGAAAAUUUCUGCAUUUAUUUUUGUUCUCUAUUUUGGGGUAGCCUUCUCCGACCAUUGGAAGUGGUGUGAGGAAAUGGGAAGGUCUCGUUGUCCAGAUGGAUAUUUAGCUUCUAGAGGAAGUGACGUACGCUGUGAGGGUUUCUUCAAAUUUAUGAAAUGCUUUCAAUGGUAUGACAGAAAAUGUGUCGAGUACUUUGGAUACCACUCUCUGUGCUUGGACGCUAUAGACUCAAGUAACCAACUUAAGAUGUCCUUUCAAACAGUAUUGCCUGCUGCUAUUGUGGUUACAUUAUUAAAGGAGAACUAAAUAAAAGGAACGUUGCAUCCGGAUCUGUAAUUUUCAUUGAUGUUAUAACCUUAUAUGACCAAUCAUCUCAUGAUAAACGAACGAUUUAAAAAAAAAAACGAUAUUUGUGUGACACAGUUUUAAAUAUCAAAAUCUACAUAUUCAGAUUAUACUCUUGUUAUCUUUAUAUUGAAUUUCGGUCAGGAAUCAAUUAAUUUGUAUCAGUGAUAAUUUUAAUUUUGAGUGCAUGUCAUUUGGAUUGCCAUUCCGGUAUAAUUUUCACUGGACCCGCGUCAGGAAUUAUAAGUUGAGUUUGUAAUUGCUGAGAGAAUCGGAAAAUGGGUUUGGUGCAAAUCUUUAUUCAAUGACCCAUCCUCCAGCUGACAUUUACGGGCAGGAUAUUAUGCAUUUGUUUGUGUUGCGUCAAGCAGUGCAUUCUGUGUCACCGCAUGUGUUCAGUAAAAACGAUGUCCUACUAAAUAUUCUGAUUUCCUCUGGGCGUGUUAUAUUCUCCAGUUAUAUAUGGGUACACUGACGGAGAGUAGAAUAAUUUUGGGCUUUUCAACUACAAAUUGAUCUGGCUAUAUAUAAAACAUAAAAAUAAUAAAGGAUAGACAUUAAAACAUGUUAGAGGUAAUGAAUUGAAUGAUAAAUGGAAGGAUGAGCAUACAUUCGUUGAAAUGCACACAUAUAUAGACGUACAAACUCUCAAACACACACACAUCUAUGCUCCAUCGGAUUCUUAAGAACUGCAAUCUACUGUUAGCUGUAAUAGCGACAGCAUCAAUUUCUUCUAUCUUCUUCCUCUGUUAAAAUAUUUUAGAAAAAUUAUAUUAAUGUGUCCAACGUGUUAAAAUUCCAUUUAUCUAUUAAUGCACUGUAUUGAAAUUGAUGUAAUGAUUGCAUUGUUCAAUUAGAUAGUGCCACUUGAAACGGUCGUACUGCAUCACUACUUGAGAUCCUGUUGCUCAUUGUGACUUUGACUGUAUAUAUAUAUAUAUAUAUAUAUAUAUACAGAUAGAUAGAAAAAUAGAUAGAUAGAUAGAUAAUAGAAAGAGUGUGUGUGUGUGUGUGUGUGUGUGCGUAUGUGCAUUCAUGUGUUUCAUGUUGAUUUGCCAAAGUAUUUAGGACGCCUGUGUAAGUUCAAAGAUAGUUAUUUGUACGCCAGCCUUAGCAAAAUCUCAUGACCAUUGAAGUUUUGGAGACAGAAACAUGAUGAAAAUUUCUGCCUUUUGUUUUCUUCUCUUAUUUGGUAUGUUGUUGUUUGUUGAUUUUCUUAUUACUUAUUGUAUGGAAGUUUUGAAUAAAAUUGUUUGCAUACAAGUACAUCUAAA